AAGUCGUAACAAGGUUUCCGUAGGUGAACCUGCGGAAGGAUCAUUAACAAUUUCAAAACAAUCAACCUUUGUGAAUCGACCUUUGGCUGGGUAGACGAUAAAUCUUAAAAGUCCCGCAAAGGUGUGUUGUGUUGAUAGUGAAAAGUGAAAAGUGUUUAGGGGAAAAAUUUAUGUAAAAGUAUUUGAUUUCCACAAACAAGCUUAACUUUAGCUGCACACAACAAACUAUAUAUAGACUAUUUUUCUGACUAAUAUAAAGUAAAAUUCUAAAUGAAAACAACUUUUAACAGUGGAUCUCUU
This 300-nucleotide unclassified non-coding RNA is filed under the name Phylloporus sp. RNAcentral's name for it is "partial contains small subunit ribosomal RNA and internal transcribed spacer 1". The stretch from base 1 to 46 matches the Rfam family "Eukaryotic small subunit ribosomal RNA", at positions 1786 to 1831 of the family's 1831-position model. The record is from RNAcentral. Lineage: Eukaryota; Fungi; Basidiomycota; Agaricomycetes; Boletales; Boletaceae.